RNAcentral lists this transfer RNA (67 nucleotides) under Evania appendigaster. Its description in RNAcentral is "tRNA-Ile". The record is from RNAcentral. Lineage: Eukaryota; Metazoa; Arthropoda; Insecta; Hymenoptera; Evaniidae.
AUUAAAGUGCCUGAAUAAAGGAUUAUUCUGAUAGAAUACAUCAUGUAAUAAAAUAUUACCUUUAAUA